GUCCUUGCCGUAAACGAUGUAUACUUGAUGUAAUUAGGCUCAACCCUGAUUGUGUCGAAGCUAACGCGAUAAGUAUACCGCCUGGGGAGUACGCUCGCAAGGGUGAAACUCAAAAGAAUUGACGGGGGCCCGCACAAGCAGUGGAGCAUGUGGUUUAAUUCGAUGCAACGCGAAGAACCUUACCCAGGCUCGAAAUGUAGAGGACGAUAUCAGAGAUGAUAUUUUUCGCAAGAACUUCUAUAUAGGUGCUGCAUGGCUGUCGU
Molecule: ribosomal RNA, 263 nt
Filed under: uncultured bacterium
Lineage: Bacteria
Description: partial 16S ribosomal RNA
Rfam family: Bacterial small subunit ribosomal RNA
Source: RNAcentral